ACUGGAGUUUGAUCCUGGCUCAGGAUGAACGCUAGCGGCAGGCUUAACACAUGCAAGUCGAGGGGUAUAGUUCUUCGGAGCUAGAGACCGGCGCACGGGUGCGUAACGCGUAUGCAAUCUACCUUUUACAGAGGGAUAGCCCAGAGAAAUUUGGAUUAAUACCUCAUAGUAUGUGAGAAUCGCAUGGUUUUUCACAUUAAAGUUCCAACGGUAAAAGAUGAGCAUGCGUCCCAUUAGCUAGAUGGUAAGGUAACGGCUUACCAUGGCGACUAUGGGUAGGGGUCCUGAGAGGGAGAUCCCCCGACACUGGUACUGAGACACGGACCAGACUCGUACGGGAGG
RNAcentral lists this ribosomal RNA (342 nucleotides) under uncultured Flavobacterium sp. Its description in RNAcentral is "bacterial SSU rRNA". It matches the Rfam family "Bacterial small subunit ribosomal RNA", at positions 1 to 348 of the family's 1533-position model. The record is from RNAcentral. Lineage: Bacteria; Pseudomonadati; Bacteroidota; Flavobacteriia; Flavobacteriales; Flavobacteriaceae.